GACGAACGCUGGCGGCGUGCUUAACACAUGCAAGUCGAACGGAAAGGCCCUGCUUUCGUGGGGUGCUCGAGUGGCGAACGGGUGAGUACACGUGAGUAACCUGCCCCUGACUUUUGGAUAACUUCAGGAAACUGGGGCUAAUACUGGUAAGGCACUCCUCCUGCAUGGGGGGGGAUGGAAAGUUUCGGCGGUUGGGGAUUGAAUGCGGGCUUAUCGGCUUGUCUGGUGGGCAGUGGCUUAGCAAGGCUUGGCGGGGUUGCCGACCUGGGAUGAGAGCCGGCGACAUGGGGCCUGAGAUAGGGCCCAGUCUCCAACGGGGGGCAGCAGUGGGGAGUAUUGCACAGUGGGCGGAAGCCUGAUGAAGAAACGCCGGGUGCGGGAUGACGGCCUUCGGGUUGUAAACCGCUUUCGCCUGUGACGAAGCGUGAGUGACGGUAAUGGGUAAAGAAGCACCGGCUAACUACGUG
This 467-nucleotide ribosomal RNA is filed under the name uncultured bacterium. Its description in RNAcentral is "partial 16S ribosomal RNA". It matches the Rfam family "Bacterial small subunit ribosomal RNA", at positions 28 to 507 of the family's 1533-position model. The record is from RNAcentral.